RNAcentral lists this ribosomal RNA (433 nucleotides) under uncultured bacterium. Its description in RNAcentral is "partial 16S ribosomal RNA". It matches the Rfam family "Bacterial small subunit ribosomal RNA", at positions 29 to 507 of the family's 1533-position model. The record is from RNAcentral.
AACGAACGCUGGCGGCGGGCCUAACACAUGCAAGUCGAGCGAGGACUCCGGUACUUGCGGCGGCCGGGUGUGGAACGCGUGGGAAGGUGCACUUUGCGUCGGACUAGCCAUGGGAAACUGGGAGUAAUACCGGACGAGCGCUUUGGGGGAAAGAUUUAUCGGGGCAGGUUCGUCCAGCGUUGGAUAAGGUAGUUGGUGUGGUUAUGGACGACCAAGCCGACGAUCCAUAGCUGGUUUGAGAGGAUGAUCAGCCACACUGGGACUGAGACACGGCCCAGACUCCUACGGGAGGCAGCAGUGGGGGAUCGUGGACAAUCGGGGAAACCCUGAUCUAGCCAUGCCGCGUGAGCGAUGAAGGCCUUAGGGUUGUAAAGCUCUUUCAGCUGGGAAGAUAAUGACGGUACCAGCAGAAGAAGCCCCGGCUAACUCCGUG